This 435-nucleotide ribosomal RNA is filed under the name uncultured Flavobacterium sp. RNAcentral describes it as "bacterial SSU rRNA". It matches the Rfam family "Bacterial small subunit ribosomal RNA", at positions 358 to 790 of the family's 1533-position model. The record is from RNAcentral. Lineage: Bacteria; Pseudomonadati; Bacteroidota; Flavobacteriia; Flavobacteriales; Flavobacteriaceae.
GGAAUAUUGGACAAUGGGCGCAAGCCUGAUCCAGCCAUGCCGCGUGCAGGAUGACGGUCCUAUGGAUUGUAAACUGCUUUUAUACGAGAAGAAACACUGCUACGUGUAGCAGCUUGACGGUAUCGUAAGAAUAAGGAUCGGCUAACUCCGUGCCAGCAGCCGCGGUAAUACGGAGGAUCCAAGCGUUAUCCGGAAUCAUUGGGUUUAAAGGGUCCGUAGGCGGUUUAAUAAGUCAGUGGUGAAAGCCCAUCGCUCAACGGUGGAACGGCCAUUGAUACUGUUAGACUUGAAUUAUUAGGAAGUAACUAGAAUAUGUAGUGUAGCGGUGAAAUGCUUAGAGAUUACAUGGAAUACCAAUUGCGAAGGCAGGUUACUACUAAUUGAUUGACGCUGAUGGACGAAAGCGUGGGUAGCGAACAGGAUUAGAUACCCCAG